This 244-nucleotide long non-coding RNA is filed under the name Nicotiana benthamiana. RNAcentral's name for it is "long non-coding RNA (NBEN_LNC032556)". The record is from RNAcentral. Lineage: Eukaryota; Viridiplantae; Streptophyta; Magnoliopsida; Solanales; Solanaceae.
AGUGCAUGACAAAUAAAGAGGAAUAAUGACUGAAAAUUUAUCAACCAAUGUUUGAACAGUUUGAUUACGCUUUGCCCUCACCAAUGAAUCAUAAACAUAAAGUUGUCGGUCCUUUAUGUCAAACACUAGCAACAACCAAUGAAAGUUCUCUACAAGGUUAACGGGCAUUAGCACAUAGUCCACAAGAUCUCAUGCUACAUUAGCAAGAAUUCUAUAGCCCAUCAUAUAUUCUCCAAUAUCAUCC